RNAcentral lists this ribosomal RNA (2933 nucleotides) under Yersinia enterocolitica. RNAcentral describes it as "bacterial LSU rRNA". It matches the Rfam family "Bacterial large subunit ribosomal RNA". The record is from RNAcentral. Lineage: Bacteria; Pseudomonadati; Pseudomonadota; Gammaproteobacteria; Enterobacterales; Yersiniaceae.
GGGUUGUGAGGUUAAGCGACUAAGCGUACACGGUGGAUGCCUAGGCAGUCAGAGGCGAUGAAGGGCGUGCUAAUCUGCGAAAAGCGUCGGUAAGGUGAUAUGAACCGUUAUAACCGACGAUACCCGAAUGGGGAAACCCAGUGCAAUUCGUUGCACUAUUGCAUGGUGAAUACAUAGCCAUGCAAGGCGAACCGGGGGAACUGAAACAUCUAAGUACCCCGAGGAAAAGAAAUCAACCGAGAUUCCCCCAGUAGCGGCGAGCGAACGGGGAGGAGCCCAGAACCUGAAUCAGCAUAUGUGUUAGUGGAAGCGUCUGGAAAGUCGCACGGUACAGGGUGAUAGUCCCGUACACAAAAAUGCAUAUGUUGUGAGUUCGAUGAGUAGGGCGGGACACGUGACAUCCUGUCUGAAUAUGGGGGGACCAUCCUCCAAGGCUAAAUACUCCUGACUGACCGAUAGUGAACCAGUACCGUGAGGGAAAGGCGAAAAGAACCCCGGCGAGGGGAGUGAAAUAGAACCUGAAACCGUGUACGUACAAGCAGUGGGAGCACCUUCGUGGUGUGACUGCGUACCUUUUGUAUAAUGGGUCAGCGACUUAUAUUUUGUAGCAAGGUUAACCGAAUAGGGGAGCCGUAGGGAAACCGAGUCUUAACUGGGCGAAUAGUUGCAAGGUAUAGACCCGAAACCCGGUGAUCUAGCCAUGGGCAGGUUGAAGGUUGGGUAACACUAACUGGAGGACCGAACCGACUAAUGUUGAAAAAUUAGCGGAUGACUUGUGGCUGGGGGUGAAAGGCCAAUCAAACCGGGAGAUAGCUGGUUCUCCCCGAAAGCUAUUUAGGUAGCGCCUCGUGAACUCAUCUUCGGGGUAGAGCACUGUUUCGGCUAGGGGGUCAUCCCGACUUACCAAACCGAUGCAAACUCCGAAUACCGAAGAAUGUUAUCACGGGAGACACACGGCGGGUGCUAACGUCCGUCGUGAAGAGGGAAACAACCCAGACCGCCAGCUAAGGUCCCAAAGUCAUGGUUAAGUGGGAAACGAUGUGGGAAGGCAUAGACAGCCAGGAUGUUGGCUUAGAAGCAGCCAUCAUUUAAAGAAAGCGUAAUAGCUCACUGGUCGAGUCGGCCUGCGCGGAAGAUGUAACGGGGCUAAACCAUGCACCGAAGCUGCGGCAGCGACACUUAGGUGUUGUUGGGUAGGGGAGCGUUCUGUAAGCCGUUGAAGGUGACCUGUGAGGGUUGCUGGAGGUAUCAGAAGUGCGAAUGCUGACAUAAGUAACGAUAAUGCGGGUGAAAAACCCGCACGCCGGAAGACCAAGGGUUCCUGUCCAACGUUAAUCGGGGCAGGGUGAGUCGACCCCUAAGGCGAGGCUGAAAAGCGUAGUCGAUGGGAAACAGGUUAAUAUUCCUGUACUUGGUGUUACUGCGAAGGGGGGACGGAGAAGGCUAGGCUAGCCGGGCGACGGUUGUCCCGGUUUAAGCAUGUAGGCGGAGUGACUUGGUAAAUCCGGUUGCUUAUCAACGCUGAGGUGUGAUGACGAGUCACUACGGUGAUGAAGUAGUUGAUGCCAAGCUUCCAGGAAAAGCCUCUAAGCAUCAGGUAACAUUAAAUCGUACCCCAAACCGACACAGGUGGUCAGGUAGAGAAUACUCAGGCGCUUGAGAGAACUCGGGUGAAGGAACUAGGCAAAAUGGUGCCGUAACUUCGGGAGAAGGCACGCUGGCAUUAGGUAAAGGGACUUGCUCCCGGAGCUGAAGCCAGUCGCAGAUACCAGCUGGCUGCAACUGUUUAAUAAAAACACAGCACUGUGCAAACACGAAAGUGGACGUAUACGGUGUGACGCCUGCCCGGUGCUGGAAGGUUAAUUGAUGGGGUCAGCCGCAAGGCGAAGCUCUUGAUCGAAGCCCCAGUAAACGGCGGCCGUAACUAUAACGGUCCUAAGGUAGCGAAAUUCCUUGUCGGGUAAGUUCCGACCUGCACGAAUGGCGUAAUGAUGGCCAGGCUGUCUCCACCCGAGACUCAGUGAAAUUGAACUCGCUGUGAAGAUGCAGUGUACCCGCGGCAAGACGGAAAGACCCCGUGAACCUUUACUAUAGCUUGACACUGAACAUUGAGCCUUGAUGUGUAGGAUAGGUGGGAGGCAUUGAAGUGUGGACGCCAGUCUGCAUGGAGCCAACCUUGAAAUACCACCCUUUAAUGUUUGAUGUUCUAACUCGGCCCCGUGAUCCGGGGUGAGGACAGUGUCUGGUGGGUAGUUUGACUGGGGCGGUCUCCUCCCAAAGAGUAACGGAGGAGCACGAAGGUUAGCUAAUCACGGUCGGACAUCGUGAGGUUAGUGCAAAGGCAUAAGCUAGCUUGACUGCGAGAGUGACGGCUCGAGCAGGUACGAAAGUAGGUCUUAGUGAUCCGGUGGUUCUGAAUGGAAGGGCCAUCGCUCAACGGAUAAAAGGUACUCCGGGGAUAACAGGCUGAUACCGCCCAAGAGUUCAUAUCGACGGCGGUGUUUGGCACCUCGAUGUCGGCUCAUCACAUCCUGGGGCUGAAGUAGGUCCCAAGGGUAUGGCUGUUCGCCAUUUAAAGUGGUACGCGAGCUGGGUUUAGAACGUCGUGAGACAGUUCGGUCCCUAUCUGCCGUGGGCGUUGGAAGAUUGAGAGGGGCUGCUCCUAGUACGAGAGGACCGGAGUGGACGAAUCACUGGUGUUCGGGUUGUCAUGCCAAUGGCAUUGCCCGGUAGCUAAAUUCGGAAGAGAUAACCGCUGAAAGCAUCUAAGCGGGAAACUUGCCUCGAGAUGAGUCUUCCCUGGGGCUUUAAGUCCCCUGAAGGAACGUUAAAGACUAUGACGUUGAUAGGCUGGGUGUGUAAGUGCAGCGAUGCAUUGAGCUAACCAGUACUAAUGAUCCGUGAGGCUUAACCUUACAACACCGAAGGUGUUU